Molecule: ribosomal RNA, 318 nt
Filed under: uncultured soil bacterium
Lineage: Bacteria
Description: bacterial SSU rRNA
Rfam family: Bacterial small subunit ribosomal RNA
Source: RNAcentral
AGAACGAACACUGGCGGCAGGCUUAACACAUGCAAGUCGAACGCCCCGCAAGGGGAGUGGCAGACGGGUGAGUAACGCGUGGGAAUCUACCUAGCUCUUCGGAAUAGCUCCGGGAAACUGGAAUUAAUACCGAGUACGCCCUACGGGGGAAAGAUUUAUCGGAGUUAGAUGAGCCCGCGUUGGAUUAGCUAGUUGGUGGGGUAACGCCUACCAAGGCGACGAUCCAUAGCUGGUCUGAGAGGAUGAUCAGCCACACUGGGACUGAGACACGGCCCAGACUCCGUACGGGAGGCAGCAGGUGGGGAAUAUUGGACAAGU